This 396-nucleotide unclassified non-coding RNA is filed under the name soil metagenome. RNAcentral describes it as "partial contains 5.8S ribosomal RNA, internal transcribed spacer 2, and large subunit ribosomal RNA". The stretch from base 1 to 120 matches the Rfam family "5.8S ribosomal RNA", at positions 35 to 154 of the family's 154-position model. The record is from RNAcentral.
GAUGAAGAACGUAGCGAAAUGCGAUAAGUAGUGAGAAUUGCAGAAUUCAGUGAAUCAUCGAAUCUUUGAACGCACAUUGCGCCUCCUGGCAUUCCGGGAGGCAUGCCUGUUCGAGCGUCAUCAAACCCCAUCGUGCAAAUGAAUUAUUUUUUUUGCGCGGAAGUGACGAUUGAGCGAGAAUAACAAAUCCUCUCGCACCUCGUCGAAAUGAUUGCGGGCGGAAUUUGGGAUCGGGUUCCUCGGCGUAGUGUAUCAAUGCAUAUUUAUGCAACUUGCCGCGGAGUUGAGCCUGACCCACGCGUUCUCGCCGUACAAACACCUCAUUACUUUACAAGUUUUUGACCUCGGAUCAGGUAGGGAUACCCGCUGAACUUAAGCAUAUCAAUAAGCGGAGGA